This 500-nucleotide ribosomal RNA is filed under the name Pseudogymnoascus pannorum. Its description in RNAcentral is "eukaryotic LSU rRNA". The stretch from base 161 to 314 matches the Rfam family "5.8S ribosomal RNA". The record is from RNAcentral. Lineage: Eukaryota; Fungi; Ascomycota; Leotiomycetes; Thelebolales; Thelebolaceae.
UCGCGGGUGCGCAGCCUCCCGGGUAACUACCACCCUUUGUUUAUUACACUUUGUUGCUUUGGCAAGCCUGCCCUCGGGCUGCUGGCUCCGGCCGGCGAGCGCUUGCCAGAGGACCUAAACUCUGUUUGUCUAUACUGUCUGAGUACUAUAUAAUAGUUAAAACUUUCAACAACGGAUCUCUUGGUUCUGGCAUCGAUGAAGAACGCAGCGAAAUGCGAUAAGUAAUGUGAAUUGCAGAAUUCAGUGAAUCAUCGAAUCUUUGAACGCACAUUGCGCCCCCUGGUAUUCCGGGGGGCAUGCCUGUCCGAGCGUCAUUACAACCCUCAAGCUCAGCUUGGUGUUGGGCCCCGUCGCCCCGGCGGGCCCUAAAGUCAGUGGCGGUGCCGUCCGGCUCCGAGCGUAGUAAUUCUUCUCGCUCUGGAGGUCCGGUCGUGUGCUCGCCAGCAAACCCCAAUUUUUUUCAGGUUGACCUCGGAUCAGUAGGGAUACCCGGUUGAACU